Molecule: ribosomal RNA, 2272 nt
Filed under: Ditylum brightwellii
Lineage: Eukaryota; Bacillariophyta; Thalassiosirophyceae; Lithodesmiales; Lithodesmiaceae
Description: partial Bacterial large subunit ribosomal RNA
Rfam family: Bacterial large subunit ribosomal RNA
Source: RNAcentral
CGGCGACUUAUAGGUAGUGGCAGGUUAAGGUAGUGAAUACCGAAGCCAUAGUGAAAGCGAGCCUGAAUAGGGCGAUUGUCACUAGUUAUAGACCCGAACCCGGAUGAUCUAACCAUGGUCAGGUUGAAGCUUAGGUAAUACUAAGUGGAGGACCGAACCGACUGAUGUUGAAAAAUCAGCGGAUGAAUUGUGGUUAGGGGUGAAAUGCCAAUCGAAUUCGGAGCUAGCUGGUUCUCCCCGAAAUGCGUUUAGGCGCAGCGGUGAAUGUUAUAAUUUAGGGGUAAAGCACUGUUACGUAUGCGGGCUGGUAAUUCGGUACCAAAUCGUUGCAAACUAAGAAUACUAAAUGUACAGUUCACCAGUAAGACUGUGGGGGAUAAGCUCCAUUGUCAAGAGGGAAACAGCCCAGAGCACCAGUUAAGGCCCCCAAAUAAUUGCUAAGUGGUAAAGGAGGUGGGAUUGCAGAAACAAUCAGGAGGUUUGCUUAGAAGCAGCAACCCUUUAAAGAGUGCGUAAUAGCUCACUGAUCGAGUAAACCUGCGCCGAAAAUGAACGGGACUAAGUAAUUUGCCGAAACUGUGCGAUAUAUUAAAAUAUAUCGGUAGGGGAGCGUUCUGUUGUAGGUCGAAGUAUUAGCGUAAGCGGAUAUGGACGAAGCAGAAGUGAGAAUGUCGGCUUGAGUAACGAAAAUAUAGGUGGGAAUCCUAUACCCCGAAAACCCAAGGUUUCCUCCGGAAGGCUCGUCCGCGGAGGGUAAGUCAGGACCUAAGGCGAGGCUGAAAAGCGUAGUCGAUGGACAACGGGUUAAUAUUCCCGUACCAUUUUUUAUGCGAUAUCGAGGGACGGAGAAGGCUAAGCUAGCCGGAUAUUGGUUACCGGUUUAAACGUUCGAGAUGUUGAGAAGCGGAGAAAACGCUUUGAGUUGAGACGUGAGUACGAGACGCUAAGGCGUCGAAGUAGUGUAUGUCAUACUUCCAAGAAAAGCUUGCACUGUCAUUCAUAAAAAAUGCCUGUACCAUAACCGACACAGGUGGGUAGGUAGAGUAUACUAAGGGGCGCGAGAUAACUCUCUCUAAGGAACUCGGCAAAAUAACUCCGUAACUUCGGGAGAAGGAGUGCCUUAUUUAUAUAAGGUUGCAAUAACAAGAUCCAAGCAACUGUUUACCAAAAACACAGGUCUCCGCUAAGUCGCAAGACGAUGUAUGGGGGCUGACGCCUGCCCAGUGCCAGAAGGUUAAAGAAGUUGGUUAGCAAUAGCGAAGCUAGUAACUGAAGCCCUGGUGAACGGCGGCCGUAACAAUAACGGUCCUAAGGUAGCGAAAUUCCUUGUCGGGUAAGUUCCGACCCGCACGAAAGGCGUAAUGAUUUGGAUACUGUCUCGGAGAGGGACUCGGUGAAAUAGACUUGUCUGUGAAGAUGCGGACUACCUGCACCAGGACAGAAAGACCCUAUGAAGCUUUACUGUAACUUGAAAUUGAAAUUGGACUUUAUUCGCGCAGUAUAGGUGGGAGGCAUUGAAAAUAAUCUUGCGGGAAUAUUGGAGCCAUCAGUGAGAUACCACUCUUGUAAUGUUAGAUUUCUAACUUUGAAUCAUUAUCUGGUCAAAGAACAGUUUCAGGCGGGCAGUUUGACUGGGGCGGUCGCCUCCUAAAAAGUAACGGAGGCGUACAAAGGUAAGUUCAAAUUGAAAAUAUCAAUUGUAGAGCGUAAUAGUAUAUUGCUUGCCUGACUGUAAGAUUGACAAAUCAAACAGGGACGAAAGUCGGUUAUAGUGAUCCGGUGAUUCUGUGUGGAAAAGAUCACCGCUCAACGGAUAAAAGGUACGCCGGGGAUAACAGGCUGAUGAUUCCCAAGAGCUCAUAUCGACGGAAUCGUUUGGCACCUCGAUGUCGGCUCAUCGCAUCCUGGGGCGGUAGUACGUCCCAAGGGUUGGGCUGUUCGCCCAUGAAAGCGGUACGCGAGCUGGGUUCAGAACGUCGUGAGACAGUUCGGUCCAUAUCCGGUGUAGGCGUUAGAAUAUUGAGAGGAGCCUUCUUUAGUACGAGAGGACCGAGAAGGACAUACCUCUGGUGUACCAGUUAUCGUGCCAACGGUAAACGCUGGGUAGCUAUGUAUGGAGUGGAUAACCGCUGAAAGCAUCUAAGUGGGAAGCCCACCUCAAGAUGAGUAUUCUCAUCACGUAAGUGAGUAAGGUCACGGUAAGACUAACCGUUUGAUAGGCAUUAAGUAUAAGUGCAGUAAUGUAUGUAGCUGAGAUGUCCUAACAGACCGA